RNAcentral lists this ribosomal RNA (157 nucleotides) under uncultured archaeon. Its description in RNAcentral is "partial 16S ribosomal RNA". It matches the Rfam family "Archaeal small subunit ribosomal RNA", at positions 322 to 479 of the family's 1478-position model. The record is from RNAcentral.
AUUACGGGGCGCAGCAGGCGCGAAACCUCCGCAAUGUGAGAAAUCGCGACGGGGGGAUCCCAAGUGCCAUUCUUAACGGGAUGGCUUUUCUUUAGUGUAAAAAGCUUUUGGAAUAAGAGCUGGGCAAGACCGGUGCCAGCCGCCGCGGUAAUACAAU